Molecule: ribosomal RNA, 731 nt
Filed under: uncultured Fusobacterium sp.
Lineage: Bacteria; Fusobacteriati; Fusobacteriota; Fusobacteriia; Fusobacteriales; Fusobacteriaceae
Description: bacterial SSU rRNA
Rfam family: Bacterial small subunit ribosomal RNA
Source: RNAcentral
GAUGAACGCUGACAGAAUGCUUAACACAUGCAAGUCAACUUGAAUUGGGUUUUUAACUUAGAUUUGGGUGGCGGACGGGUGAGUAACGCGUAAAGAACUUGCCUCACAGUUAGGGACAACAUUUAGAAAUGAAUGCUAAUACCUGAUAUUAUGAUUUUAAGGCAUCUUAGAAUUAUGAAAGCUAUAAGCACUGUGAGAGAGCUUGCGUCCCAUAGCUAGUGGAGAGGUAACAGCUCACCAAGGCGAUGAUGGGUAGCCGGCCUGAGAGGGUGAACGGCCACAAGGGGACUGAGACACGGCCCUUACUCCUACGGGAGGCAGCAGUGGGGAAUAUUGGACAAUGGACCAAGAGUCUGAUCCAGCAAUUCUGUGUGCACGAUGAAGUUUUUCGGAAUGUAAAGUGCUUUCAGUUGGGAAGAAAGAAAUGACGGUACCAACAGAAGAAGUGACGGCUAAAUACGUGCCAGCAGCCGCGGUAAUACGUAUGUCACGAGCGUUAUCCGGAUUUAUUGGGCGUAAAGCGCGUCUAGGUGGUUAUGUAAGUCUGAUGUGAAAAUGCAGGGCUCAACUCUGUAUUGCGUUGGAAACUGUAUAACUAGAGUACUGGAGAGGUAAGCGGAACUACAAGUGUAGAGGUGAAAUUCGUAGAUAUUUGUAGGAAUGCCGAUGGGGAAGCCAGCUUACUGGACAGAUACUGACGCUAAAGCGCGAAAGCGUGGGUAGCAAACAGG